UUCUUGGCGACCAUAGCAAAUAGGAACCACCCGACCCCAUCCCGAACUCGGUAGUGAAACUGUUCUGCGCCGAUGAUAGUGUGGAUACUCUCCAUGUGAAAGUAGGUUAUCGCCAAGAGC
Molecule: ribosomal RNA, 120 nt
Filed under: Beggiatoa alba
Lineage: Bacteria; Pseudomonadati; Pseudomonadota; Gammaproteobacteria; Thiotrichales; Thiotrichaceae
Source: RNAcentral